CCCCGGCGAUGUGCAGGCACCUCUCCGUUGUGCUGGGGACCAAUAUUCGAGUAUUCAAGCGUAUUCGAAGAAGCAAGGACCUGC
RNAcentral lists this non-coding RNA (84 nucleotides) under Penicillium rubens Wisconsin 54-1255. Lineage: Eukaryota; Fungi; Ascomycota; Eurotiomycetes; Eurotiales; Aspergillaceae. The record is from RNAcentral.